RNAcentral lists this long non-coding RNA (923 nucleotides) under Homo sapiens (human). RNAcentral describes it as "non-protein coding lnc-TP53TG3-32:1". The record is from RNAcentral. Lineage: Eukaryota; Metazoa; Chordata; Mammalia; Primates; Hominidae.
CGCCUCGGCGGCGAGCAGCACAGCGGGAACAUGGCGCCCGGAACUGGCGAGCGCGCCUAGCUGGCGGGACCGUUAGCUCGAGGCGGACGCGGCCCGGACCCGGUGGAUGUGGAGCAGUCGCCGCUGCCGGCGCCCAAGCCGACCCCAGGGCCGACCCCCGCAAGGAGCUGAAGGAGGUGGGAGCCCCAGUCGCCGCGGGCGUCGGCGCCGUCAAAGAAGAUGGCCACGGAGACAGCAGUGUGGUCAGAGUGGUGGAGCUGGUCAUCGGCGAGAGCUGCUCCAUGUCUGUCUGCUGAGUGCUAGAGCCUGUGGCCCACUGGCUUGCCUCACUGUGGUUGAUGGUGGCGGUGACAGAGACUGCAGCACGACCAGAGUGGCUUUUCUGGCUUUGCCCACCCAGCUGCUCCAUGCCAGGAGGAGGAGGAGACACCUAGAGCCUGCGACACCACGACUUGCCUCACUGCGGGUGGGUGGCAGCGACAGAGACUGCAGUGCGCCAGAGCGGUAGGAGAGCGGCCGCGCUAGGAGGGCAGGCGGCUGCAGCCAGGGUUGGGGGUCAGGCUUACAGCGAUGGACGGGCUGCAGCAGUGGCCAGGUGGUAGGAGCCUUGUAGGGAAGGCUGGUGCAUUGGCAAUGGGCCUGGCUUUGCCCUGCAUUGCCCUGUACCCGCCCUACUGUUACCUGGACUGUCUCGGCCCUGUCCUGCUCUGGUCCCAUCCUGACCCUGUCUUGGCCCUGUGCUACUCUGUCCCUGUCCUGGUCUUGCCCUGGCACUGGCCCUGCCCUGAACUGGCACUGGCCCUGCCCUGAACCUGCACUGGCCUGACCUUGGCUCUGGCCCUGGCUCUGGCCCUACCCCUUGUCCUGACCCUGGUCAUGUCAUGGCACUGGCCCUGCCAGUGGUCAUGGUCCUACUCCUGUUC